GGACCGCGACUGCAUCUUUAUUAGAGUUGAUCCUGGCUCAGGAUGAACGCUGGCGGCGAUGCCUAAUACAUGCAGUCGAGCGAAUGGAUUAAGAGCUUGCUCUUAUGAAGUUAGCGGCGGACGGGUGAGUAACACGUGGGUAACCUGCCCAUAAGACUGGGAUAACUCCGGGAAACCGGGGCUAAUACCGGAUAACAUUUUGCACUGCAUGGUGCGAAAUUGAAAGGCGGCUUCGGCUGUCACUUAUGGAUAGGACCCGCGUCGCAUUAGCUAGUUGGUGAGGUAACGGCUCACCAAGGCAACGAUGCGUAGCCGACCUGAGAGGGUGAUCGGCCACACUGGGACUGAGACACGGCCCAGAAACCCCAUUUUCCCCCCCCAUUUUCAAAACCCCGGG
This 397-nucleotide ribosomal RNA is filed under the name uncultured bacterium. RNAcentral describes it as "bacterial SSU rRNA". It matches the Rfam family "Bacterial small subunit ribosomal RNA", at positions 1 to 345 of the family's 1533-position model. The record is from RNAcentral.